GUCUCUGGGGAAGGCAGAGCUGUGGUCUAGAAGAAGAUGAGGCUGCUGGGUCUUCUCCUGUGCCUGGUGACAGCCCCCCAAGGUGUCCUGUCCCAGGUACAGCUGCAGGAGUCGGGCACAGGACUGGUGAAGCCCUCGCAGACCCUGUCCCUCACCUGCACAGUCUCUGGAUUCUCUUUAAGCAGCUAUGGUGUACACUGGAUACGCCAGGCUCCUGGAAAGGUGCUGGAGUGGGUUGGUGUUGUGUGGGGUGGUGGAAGCACAGCCUAUAACCCAACGCUUAAGUCCCGCCUCAGCAUCACCAAGGAAACCUCCAAGAGCCAAGUUUAUUUAACACUGAAGAGCCUGACAGCUGAGGACAUGGCCGUGUAUUACUGUGCGAGUGUCCAGUGUGAGGUGCAGCUGGUGGAGUCUGGGGGAGGCUUGGUGCAGCCUGGGGGGUCUCUGCGACUCUCCUGCACAGCCUCUGGAUUCACCUUCAGUAGCUACGGCAUGAACUGUGUCCGCCAGGCUCCAGGGAAGGGUCUGGAGUGGGUCUCAUACAUUAGUCGUAGUGGAAGUAGCACAAGCUAUGCCGACUCGGUGAAGGGCCAAUUCACCAUCUCCAGAGACAACGCCAAGAACAUGCUGUAUCUGCAAAUGACCAGCCUGAGAGUCGAGGACACGGCUGUAUAUUACUGUCAAGCGACACAGUGA
Molecule: non-coding RNA, 696 nt
Organism: Hipposideros armiger (great roundleaf bat)
Lineage: Eukaryota; Metazoa; Chordata; Mammalia; Chiroptera; Hipposideridae
Source: the annotation of a RefSeq genome assembly